Molecule: transfer RNA, 71 nt
Filed under: Plesiocystis pacifica
Lineage: Bacteria; Pseudomonadati; Myxococcota; Nannocystales; Nannocystaceae
Also listed under: 1 other name
Description: tRNA-Gln
Rfam family: tRNA
About the family: Transfer RNA (tRNA) molecules are approximately 80 nucleotides in length. Their secondary structure includes four short double-helical elements and three loops (D, anti-codon, and T loops).
Source: RNAcentral
UCGGGAAUCGUCUAAGGGUAGGACAACGGUUUCUGGUACCGUCAAUCAAGGUUCGAAUCCUUGUUCCCGAA